RNAcentral lists this transfer RNA (200 nucleotides) under Candidatus Aenigmatarchaeota archaeon. RNAcentral's name for it is "tRNA-Val". The record is from RNAcentral. Lineage: Archaea; Nanobdellati; Candidatus Aenigmatarchaeota.
GGGCUGGUGGUCUAGCGGUUGCGCCUUUUUGCUGCGGCAAAAACCCGCGGGAAAAAAUACGCCUGCCGGCAGCGCCGCACAUGACGUCGCCUUCACAUGGCGAAUAUCGCCGGUUCGAACCACCCUUUUGCGCGCUCGCGCUCUUCGAGCGCUCGCCUGUAAACGCGCAAAAGCGUGCACGGAUCCGGCCCGGCCCACCA